RNAcentral lists this ribosomal RNA (1337 nucleotides) under metagenome. RNAcentral describes it as "bacterial SSU rRNA". It matches the Rfam family "Bacterial small subunit ribosomal RNA", at positions 8 to 1346 of the family's 1533-position model. The record is from RNAcentral.
AGAGUUUGAUCAUGGCUCAGGAUGGACGCUGGCGGCGUGCUUAACACAUGCAAGUCGAACGAAGCACUUUAACUUGAUUCUUCGGAUGAAGGUUUUUGUGACUGAGUGGCGGACGGGUGAGUAACGCGAGGGUAACCUGCCUCAUACAGGGGGAUAACAGUUAGAAAUGACUGCUAAUACCGCAUAAGACCACAGAGCCGCAUGGCUCGGUGGGAAAAACUCCGGUGGUAUGAGAUGGACCCGCGUCUGAUUAGGUAGUUGGUGGGGUAACGGCCUACCAAGCCAACGAUCAGUAGCCGACCUGAGAGGGUGACCGGCCACAUUGGGACUGAGACACGGCCCAAACUCCUACGGGAGGCAGCAGUGGGGAAUAUUGCACAAUGGGGGGAACCCUGAUGCAGCGACGCCGCGUGAGCGAAGAAGUAUUUCGGUAUGUAAAGCUCUAUCAGCAGGGAAGAAAAUGACGGUACCUGACUAAGAAGCACCGGCUAAAUACGUGCCAGCAGCCGCGGUAAUACGUAUGGUGCAAGCGUUAUCCGGAUUUACUGGGUGUAAAGGGAGCGUAGACGGCUGUGUAAGUCUGAAGUGAAAGCCCGGGGCUCAACCCCGGGACUGCUUUGGAAACUAUGCAGCUAGAGUGUCGGAGAGGUAAGUGGAAUUCCCAGUGUAGCGGUGAAAUGCGUAGAUAUUGGGAGGAACACCAGUGGCGAAGGCGGCUUACUGGACGAUGACUGACGUUGAGGCUCGAAAGCGUGGGGAGCAAACAGGAUUAGAUACCCUGGUAGUCCACGCCGUAAACGAUGACUACUAGGUGUCGGGGAGCAAAGCUCUUCGGUGCCGCAGCAAACGCAAUAAGUAGUCCACCUGGGGAGUACGUUCGCAAGAAUGGAACUCAAAGGAAUUGACGGGGACCCGCACAAGCGGUGGAGCAUGUGGUUUAAUUCGAAGCAACGCGAAGAACCUUACCUGCUCUUGACAUCCCGGUGACCGGCAUGUAAUGAUGCCUUUUCUUCGGAACACCGGUGACAGGUGGUGCAUGGUUGUCGUCAGCUCGUGUCGUGAGAUGUUGGGUUAAGUCCCGCAACGAGCGCAACCCUUAUCUUCAGUAGCCAGCAAUUCGGAUGGGCACUCUGGAGAGACUGCCAGGGAUAACCUGGAGGAAGGUGGGGAUGACGUCAAAUCAUCAUGCCCCUUAUGAGCAGGGCUACACACGUGCUACAAUGGCGUAAACAAAGGGAAGCGAGCCUGCGAGGGUAAGCAAAUCUCAAAAAUAACGUCUCAGUUCGGAUUGUAGUCUGCAACUCGACUACAUGAAGCUGGAAUCGCUAGUAAUCGCG